GAUGAACGCUGGCGGCGUGCCUAAUACAUGCAAGUCGAGCGAACGGACGAGAAGCUUGCUUCUCUGAUGUUAGCGGCGGACGGGUGAGUAACACGUGGAUAACCUACCUAUAAGACUGGGAUAACUUCGGGAAACCGUAGCUAAUACCGGAUAAUAUUUUGAACCGCAUGGUUCAAAAGUGAAAGACGGUCUUGCUGUCACUUAUAGAUGGAUCCGCGCUGCAUUAGCUAGUUGGUAAGGUAACGGCUUACCAAGGCAACGAUGCAUAGUCGACCUGAGAGGGUGAUCGGCCACACUGGAACUGCGACACGGUCCAGACUCCUACGGGAGGCAGCAGUAGGGAAUCUUCCGCAAUGGGCGAAAGCCUGACGGAGCAACGCCGCGUGAGUGAUGAAGGUCUUCGGAUCGUAAAACUCUGUUAUUAGGGAAGAACAUAUGUGUAAGUAACUGUGCACAUCUUGACGGUACCUAAUCAGAAAGCCACGGCUAACUACGUG
Molecule: ribosomal RNA, 497 nt
Filed under: uncultured bacterium
Lineage: Bacteria
Description: partial 16S ribosomal RNA
Rfam family: Bacterial small subunit ribosomal RNA
Source: RNAcentral